UUCUUAGUAACCAUAUAUAGGCAUUCAGGGCACAAACUCCAGUGCCACUAGCUGAGUUCAAGUUCCAGCUCUGCUUCUCACCGUCUUUGAGAUCUUAGAGGGACAAUAAUCAUCCAGCCCUCAGACCCCCGUCAUGGUGUCUUCACCUCCUGCCAGUGCUUCAGGCUUCCUGAGGUGCAGCCCAGCUGGGACCUGGAAAUUCCCGAUCCCACACACCACCGCCCACCGGGAAGGAAGCAUGGACUGGCAACAAAGUGUCUUUACUGUGUGCCAUCUGAUUGCAAACAGAACUGGGCUUUCCAAGAGAAGCUGAGGAGGACAGUGGAGAGCUUUUAUCUUGAACCUAGGAGGUGGAGGUUGUAGUGAGCCGAGAUCACGCCACUGCACUCCAGCUUGGCGACAGAGCGAGACUCCGUCUCAAAAAAGAAGAAAGAAAAAAAAAGGAGCGAGAGAAUGGCCACAGAGGCCAGGGCAUUAGGGCUUGCUGGACCAGGGAUGCUGCAGGGAGCUUGGGCUUGUGGCCGGAUUGCAGUUUCGGGAUAUGGGCUCACUGCAACCUCCGCCUCCCUGCUCAAGUGAUCUUCCUACCUCAGCCUCCCAAGGAACUGGGACUGCAGGUGUGUGCCACCA
This is a long non-coding RNA of Rhinopithecus roxellana (golden snub-nosed monkey), 630 nucleotides long. RefSeq lists it as uncharacterized. The transcript is spliced from 3 exons. The record is from RefSeq and is a predicted model, not a curated record. Lineage: Eukaryota; Metazoa; Chordata; Mammalia; Primates; Cercopithecidae.